GUCUACGGCCACGCCCCCCUGAAUGAGCCGGUGUCUGAUCUCGGAGGCUAAGCGGGGCCGGGCCUGGUUAGUGCUUGGAUGGGAGACCACCUAGGAAGACCAGGUGCUGUAGGCG
This 115-nucleotide ribosomal RNA is filed under the name Pteropus alecto (black flying fox). Lineage: Eukaryota; Metazoa; Chordata; Mammalia; Chiroptera; Pteropodidae. The record is from RNAcentral.